AAAUUGAAGAGUUUGAUCAUGGCUCAGAUUGAACGCUGGCGGCAGGCCUAACACAUGCAAGUCGAACGGUAACAGGAAGCAGCUUGCUGCUUCGCUGACGAGUGGCGGACGGGUGAGUAAUGUCUGGGAAACUGCCUGAUGGAGGGGGAUAACUACUGGAAACGGUGGCUAAUACCGCAUAACGUCGCAAGACCAAAGAGGGGGACCUUCGGGCCUCUUGCCAUCAGAUGUGCCCAGAUGGGAUUAGCUUGUUGGUGAGGUAACGGCUCACCAAGGCGACGAUCCCUAGCUGGUCUGAGAGGAUGACCAGCCACACUGGAACUGAGACACGGUCCAGACUCCUACGGGAGGCAGCAGUGGGGAAUAUUGCACAAUGGGCGCAAGCCUGAUGCAGCCAUGCCGCGUGUAUGAAGAAGGCCUUCGGGUUGUAAAGUACUUUCAGCGGGGAGGAAGGUGUUGUGGUUAAUAACCGCAGCAAUUGACGUUACCCGCAGAAGAAGCACCGGCUAACUCCGUGCCAGCAGCCGCGGUAAUACGGAGGGUGCAAGCGUUAAUCGGAAUUACUGGGCGUAAAGCGCACGCAGGCGGUCUGUCAAGUCGGAUGUGAAAUCCCCGGGCUCAACCUGGGAACUGCAUUCGAAACUGGCAGGCUUGAGUCUUGUAGAGGGGGGUAGAAUUCCAGGUGUAGCGGUGAAAUGCGUAGAGAUCUGGAGGAAUACCGGUGGCGAAGGCGGCCCCCUGGACAAAGACUGACGCUCAGGUGCGAAAGCGUGGGGAGCAAACAGGAUUAGAUACCCUGGUAGUCCACGCCGUAAACGAUGUCUACUUGGAGGUUGUGCCCUUGAGGCGUGGCUUCCGGAGCUAACGCGUUAAGUAGACCGCCUGGGGAGUACGGCCGCAAGGUUAAAACUCAAAUGAAUUGACGGGGGCCCGCACAAGCGGUGGAGCAUGUGGUUUAAUUCGAUGCAACGCGAAGAACCUUACCUGGUCUUGACAUCCACAGAACUUUCCAGAGAUGGACUGGUGCCUUCGGGAACUGUGAGACAGGUGCUGCAUGGCUGUCGUCAGCUCGUGUUGUGAAAUGUUGGGUUAAGUCCCGCAACGAGCGCAACCCUUAUCCUUUGUUGCCAGCGGUUAGGCCGGGAACUCAAGGGAGACUGCCAGUGAUAAACUGGAGGAAGGUGGGGAUGACGUCAAGUCAUCAUGGCCCUUACGACCAGGGCUACACACGUGCUACAAUGGCGCAUACAAAGAGAAGCGACCUCGCGAGAGCAAGCGGACCUCAUAAAGUGCGUCGUAGUCCGGAUUGGAGUCUGCAACUCGACUCCAUGAAGUCGGAAUCGCUAGUAAUCGUGGAUCAGAAUGCCACGGUGAAUACGUUCCCGGGCCUUGUACACACCGCCCGUCACACCAUGGGAGUGGGUUGCAAAAGAAGUAGGUAGCUUAACCUUCGGGAGGGCGCUUACCACUUUGUGAUUCAUGACUGGGGUGAAGUCGUAACAAGGUAACCGUAGGGGAACCUGCGGUUGGAUCACCUCCUUA
Molecule: ribosomal RNA, 1542 nt
Filed under: Salmonella enterica subsp. enterica serovar Alachua
Lineage: Bacteria; Pseudomonadati; Pseudomonadota; Gammaproteobacteria; Enterobacterales; Enterobacteriaceae
Description: bacterial SSU rRNA
Rfam family: Bacterial small subunit ribosomal RNA
Source: RNAcentral